Molecule: ribosomal RNA, 117 nt
Filed under: uncultured bacterium
Lineage: Bacteria
Description: partial 16S ribosomal RNA
Rfam family: Bacterial small subunit ribosomal RNA
Source: RNAcentral
UACGUUCCCGGGCCUUGUACACACCGCCCGUCACACCACGAAAGUCGGCAACACCCGAAGCCGGUGGCCCAACCCUUGUGGAGGGAGCCGUCGAAGGUGGGGUCGGUGAUUGGGGUG